CCUACGGGGUGCAGCAGUGAGGAAUAUUGGUCAAUGGGCGGAAGCCUGAACCAGCCAAGUCGCGUGAGGGAUUAAGGCCCUGCGGGUUGUAAACCUCUUUUGUCGGGGAGCAGUGGUCCGGACGUGUCCGGACCGGGAUAUUACCCGGAGAAAAAGCAUCGGCUAACUCGUUGCCAGCAGCCGCGGUCAUACGGAGGAUGCGAGCGUUAUCCGGAUUUAUUGGGUUUAAAGGGUGCGUAGGCGGUCAUUUAUGCCGGCGGUAAACUGUCGGGGCUAAACCGCGGCCUGCCGUCGAAACUGGGUGCCUUGAGUGGGCGAGAAGUAUGCGGAAUGCGUGGUGUAGCGGUGAAAUGCAUAGAUAUCACGCAGAACCCCGAUUGCGAAGGCAGCAUACCGGCGCCCUACUGACGCUGAGGCACGAAAGUGUGGGUAUCGAACAGGAUUAGAUACCCCAGUAGUC
This 460-nucleotide ribosomal RNA is filed under the name uncultured bacterium. Its description in RNAcentral is "partial 16S ribosomal RNA". It matches the Rfam family "Bacterial small subunit ribosomal RNA", at positions 338 to 795 of the family's 1533-position model. The record is from RNAcentral.